AUCCAGAUGACGAGUCCCAAAUAGGACGAAAUGCACAUUUUACAU
This 45-nucleotide non-coding RNA is filed under the name Trichobilharzia regenti. Lineage: Eukaryota; Metazoa; Platyhelminthes; Trematoda; Strigeidida; Schistosomatidae. The record is from RNAcentral.